UAGAUGGAGCCUACGCAUUCUGACCAGUGAUGGUGGUAUGUCAGCUUCAUUGUACCAAGAAACGCCUAGCAAACUGGUAAAGCAGACACCUGGAUCAACUGUUCAACAUGCUCAAUACAAUGGUCUCUUGCAAUAAGUAGCCCAGGAAAGCAGAAAAUUGUAUGACAAAGGAAAAGUGAUCAAGGCAGGUGUAAUGGAAGCUCAUGAGGGAAGUUCUUCCUGUCAUCACAGAUGUCCUCAGAGUGCUCUUCUCCAUGGGAAAAACUGUGUCCCUGUCCCAUCAGCCAAAAAACAUGCAAUCCUGGGAAGGACCUUUCCAGUGCUGUCUCAUUAACCAGAUGACCCCCCAGACAUUGUCAGCACGGCCCAGCCAAGGUGAUUGAUCACCAGAGAACAGAGAAGAGUGUUCAGUUCUCUCCUUCACAGACGCCCUUCUGCCCGCCACACCAACGGAU
This is a long non-coding RNA of Fukomys damarensis (Damara mole-rat), 455 nucleotides long. RefSeq lists it as uncharacterized. Lineage: Eukaryota; Metazoa; Chordata; Mammalia; Rodentia; Bathyergidae. The transcript has 5 exons. The record is from RefSeq and is a predicted model, not a curated record.